UGGACAGAUUAUUAUAUUCGACUGUAUUCACGGCGUGAAAUAGGGGAUUACACCGUUUUUAAAACGGAAAGUGAAUCAAUUAACAUAAUAGACUCCU
This is a microRNA precursor of Nicotiana attenuata, 97 nucleotides long. It matches the Rfam family "MIR6152 microRNA precursor family". The record is from Rfam. Lineage: Eukaryota; Viridiplantae; Streptophyta; Magnoliopsida; Solanales; Solanaceae.